Molecule: ribosomal RNA, 540 nt
Filed under: Artedius corallinus (coralline sculpin)
Lineage: Eukaryota; Metazoa; Chordata; Actinopteri; Perciformes; Cottidae
Description: partial 16S ribosomal RNA
Rfam family: Bacterial large subunit ribosomal RNA
Source: RNAcentral
GCCCAACAGCUAGCCCUCCCCACAAAACACAACAACCCCACUAUAAAUAACCCCUAAGUACCCCAGUAUUUAAAUUAACAAACCAUUUUCCCCCCUCAGUAUAGGAGAUAGAAAAGGGACCAAGGCGCAAUAGAGAAAGUACCGCAAGGGAAUGCUGAAAGAGAAAUGAAACAACCCAGUAAAGCCCAAAGAAGCAGAGCCUCAACCUCGUACCUUUUGCAUCAUGAUUUAGUAAGUGUACCCCAAGCAAAGAGAACUUUAGUUUGACACCCCGAAACUUCGUGAGCUACUCCAAGACAGCCUAAUUAAUAGGGCUUACCCGUCUCUGUUGCAAAAGAGUGGGGAGAACUUUGAGUAGAGGUGACAAACCUACCGAACCUAGUUAUAGCUGGUUGCCCAAUAAAUGAAUAGAAGUUCAGCCUCUCGGCUUCUCUUUUCCCCCACAGUUUUUAACCCCUGUCGAUUCAUCAAAGAAACCAAGAGAGUUAGUCAAAGGGGGUACAGCCCCUUUGAAUCAAGACACAACUUUACCAGGCGGGU